Long non-coding RNA from Entelurus aequoreus (snake pipefish), 2361 nucleotides. RefSeq lists it as uncharacterized. The transcript has 3 exons. NCBI's taxonomy places the organism in Eukaryota, Metazoa, Chordata, Actinopteri, Syngnathiformes, Syngnathidae. The record is from RefSeq and is a predicted model, not a curated record.
UCCACUCCAAUAAAAUCCUUCUACGAGCUAGUAAUGAUGCAAAGGCGAUUCCAUCCCUAAAAGUCUGCUUAAUUUGUUGAGAGUUUGGUGGAAUUCCAGAAAAUAGCCAAUUCUGAACAAGGCGUCAAUUUAAAAUGUAGUGCUUCUGCAAGAUGUUUAAAAAUAUUAAUCCAGUAGGCUUUCAGACAUUGUAUUUAUUUUUUUAAACCAGUGUUCCCAUAUUGUCAAGUGCAUUAAAUCCCCCCCCCCCCCCAGACUUGUCCUGCGUUUGAUUAUUUAUCUCAAUUCAAAGCUCACUUUGGAGAUUAAAUUAUUGACUAUAAAAUUUAAGAUAGGUCCACUUCUUCUUAAUACAUUUCAGCCUUUAUUCACAGUCGAGAUGCAGUUAAAAAUAAAAAAAUAAAUAACUACUGAACAAUCAGAGAGCCAGGCUUGAGACAGUAGAAGAGUUCAUGCGGCUUUAUUCUUUGACGUGUGAUAUUUUACAUUUAUGUGUCGGCUAGUUUAACUUCUGUCUGUCGAGUAUCUGCAAUAAACAAAACAACAUAAAUCAGAUUGUGUGACAGCUUAAUAUGGAAGUUGACCAGCUUCAACCUAAAUGAGAGUAACAAUUCUGCGGACACAUCAUAGGUCAAAUAAAACACAGUCACACAAAUAACAUACAUGGGGCCAAAAUUCACCCCUUCACUUGCAUGUUAAAGGAAUUAAUUAGCAAUUGUUAUCAGCCACUUGAAUCGCAAACAUACUUUCACAUCUAUUGCUCAUGACUGGUGUUAGAAAAAUUACCUUUAAAAAAGUAAUUACAGUUACUCAUUACUUUCCCCGAAAAGUAAUUUGAUAAAUAUAAUUAUUAUUUAUUAGAUGUAGUUAAUUACAUCUAUUAAAUUAAUGUUUUGUUUUUUUUAAACUUUCAAAAAUCUGGUGUAUACAGUUGAGAGAUGUUUCAUGAGAGAAGAGCGCGUGAGUGCGUGCCUUUAAAAGGCCGUUCCUGUUGCCAAGGGAAGUCAUGUGAUCUACCACUAUUUAUUAUUGUUGUUUACUGACUAACGAAACAUCCCCUUAUUAUUGUUACUCUGUAUUAAUUUCAUUGUGUAUACAAACAAGUGUCAAAAUACAGCUUUUUGGAGGCUUUUCUCCACCAGUCUCUCUUCUGGCUGGGAUGUGCAGGCGUCAUGUCACAUAUUUUUUGUCUUCUUUGAGAACAUUCUGACCCUUAUUAAACGGGUAGGAUUUCAUAUCAGAUGUUGAAAAAUAUUGACUUAUUUCAGCUUAUAUAUAUUUGAUUUGUAUGAUUGUUCGUCACGGCACAGGCGCACCCCAGUGCGCAUUCAUGGCACGCGCCACUCCGGCUGCAGCAGGCGGCUGCAUUCAAUCGGCUCAAUCAGCACUCUACACACCUGUCGCUGAUGAGCUUCCUCGCCUUCUUAAGCCAGUGCAAACCUGCGUUCCGGGCCAGAACGUAGCGACCUGUUCCUGUACACAGCAUUUCUACAUCCCCGCGUCACGAGCUGUGUGUCUCGUCUCCCCGUGUUCCCCUCUGGUUCCCCGGCUGCCCCUCUUGGAUAUUGACCUCCCGCCUGGAUACGGACUUUAACGCCUCGCCCCUGCCCUUGACCUCACGCCUGCCCACAGACCUCCGAGCCUGCCUUGCCCCCUCUUGGACUUCCGCGCCUCGCUCAACACUUCCGCAGGCCUAGAGUGGACCUUGUGGUCUGCUGGUGGGUCUGGACUUGAGGGCCUUGGAGCAGCUGGACCUCCAGACCUCCUGUCACAGAAGCAGAUGUUGGAGAUUGACAAGGUUCCCCCAUGUCCCCAAGGUUCCUUUCAUUGCUUCUGCUGUCGUUUUUUUGUAGUUUUCGAACAAACAUCUGAAAAUGUCAACAUAUGUAUGCUACAAUACCUACAUAAAUACAUAUUAUGCAAUGUUUGUUUCUACUGUUUUGCUGCCGCCUGUCUGCCUUCUCUUGCACCGCCUCGCUGACAGUCCUGGGUAUAGCCUCUCUCUCACACCUGCGGGUGGUUAUCAAUUACGCAUUUUUAAGCGGGGCUCACCGCCACAGCCAGCGCCAGUUGUUGACUAUGGUUCAAUCAACUGCAAGGACUUUUCCACUCGCUUGGCUCCAUUGUGAUCAUCUCUCCUGUUGGCUCCGCUCACAGUUGGGUAGCUUAUUCUCCACUCCGUUUGAGUGCGCUUUUUGUUUAUUUGCACUCUGUUUAAGUGUGCUUUGUGUUUGUUAUUACACUCCUCAUUAGUGCAUUUUUCUUCUUUCUAAGUGUCCAUCUGUGCUUUGGGGUCCGAUUCUGGCUUAAGCCGUCCAAAUAUGUUACACUUAAAGGCCUACUGAAAUGAUUUUUUUCUAU